AACGAACGCUGGCGGCAUGCCUAACACAUGCAAGUCGAACGAGAUCUUCGGGUCUAGUGGCGCACGGGUGCGUAACGCGUGGGAAUCUGCCCUUUGGUCCGGAAUAACAGUUGGAAACGACUGCUAAUACCGGAUGAUGACGAAAGUCCAAAGAUUUAUCGCCAGAGGAUGAGCCCGCGUAGGAUUAGCUAGUUGGUGUGGUAAAGGCGCACCAAGGCGACGAUCCUUAGCUGGUCUGAGAGGAUGAUCAGCCACACUGGGACUGAGACACGGCCCAGACUCCUACGGGAGGCAGCAGUGGGGAAUAUUGGACAGUGGGCGAAAGCCUGAUCCAGCAAUGCCGCGUGAGUGAUGAAGGCCUUAGGGUUGUAAAGCCCUUUUACCCGGGAUGAUAAUGACAGUACCGGGAGAAUAAGCUCCGGCUAACUCCGUGCCAGCAGCCGCAGUAA
Molecule: ribosomal RNA, 449 nt
Filed under: uncultured bacterium
Lineage: Bacteria
Description: partial 16S ribosomal RNA
Rfam family: Bacterial small subunit ribosomal RNA
Source: RNAcentral